CAGCCAGAUACUUACUCUGCUAAUCUGAAUGUGUUUCCAUAGAAAUUUAGAAGCAGCUAGUAAUAGCUAUGCCAUUUUAUGAACCUUACAGACAACUGAAGUCAUUAUGGUCUCUCAAAAUGGAUAAAAUA
Small nucleolar RNA from Jaculus jaculus (lesser Egyptian jerboa), 131 nucleotides. NCBI's taxonomy places the organism in Eukaryota, Metazoa, Chordata, Mammalia, Rodentia, Dipodidae. The record is from Ensembl.